Molecule: transfer RNA, 72 nt
Filed under: Candidatus Shapirobacteria bacterium
Lineage: Bacteria; Candidatus Shapironibacteriota
Description: tRNA-Tyr
Rfam family: tRNA
About the family: Transfer RNA (tRNA) molecules are approximately 80 nucleotides in length. Their secondary structure includes four short double-helical elements and three loops (D, anti-codon, and T loops).
Source: RNAcentral
CCAGCAGGAGCCGGGCGGUUAGGCAAUGGUCUGUAAAACCAUCAUAAGUAGGUUCAACUCCUACCUGCUGGA